AUUGAACGCUGGCGGAAUGCUUUACACAUGCAAGUCGAACGGUAGAGGGGGCAACCCCUUGAGAGUGGCGAACGGGUGAGUAAUAUAUCGGAACGUGCCCAGUCGUGGGGAUAACGUAGCGAAAGUUACGCUAAUACCGCAUACGAUCUAAGGAUGAAAGCGGGGGACUCGCAAGAGCCUCGCGCGAUUGGAGCGGCCGAUAUCAGAUUAGGUAGUUGGUGGGGUAAAGGCUCACCAAGCCAACGAUCUGUAGCUGGUCUGAGAGGACGACCAGCCACACUGGAACUGAGACACGGUCCAGACUCCUACGGGAGGCAGCAGUGGGGAAUUUUGGACAAUGGACGCAAGUCUGAUCCAGCCAUUCCGCGUGCAGGAUGAAGGCCCUCGGGUUGUAAACUGCUUUGUACGGAACGAAAAGGUUUCUAUUAAUACUAGGUAGCUCAUGACGGUACCGUAAGGAAUAAGCACGGCUAACUACGUGCCAGCAG
Molecule: ribosomal RNA, 488 nt
Filed under: uncultured bacterium
Lineage: Bacteria
Description: bacterial SSU rRNA
Rfam family: Bacterial small subunit ribosomal RNA
Source: RNAcentral